RNAcentral lists this ribosomal RNA (376 nucleotides) under Decapoda sp. USNM IZ 1450072. RNAcentral's name for it is "SSU rRNA". It matches the Rfam family "Eukaryotic small subunit ribosomal RNA", at positions 51 to 414 of the family's 1831-position model. RNAcentral also lists the same sequence under 1 other name. The record is from RNAcentral. Lineage: Eukaryota; Metazoa; Arthropoda; Malacostraca; Decapoda.
AUGCAUGUCUAAGUACAAGCCGAUUUAAGGCGAAACCGCGAAUGGCUCAUUAAAUCAGCUAUGAUUCAUUGGAUCUGUACCCACACUUACUUGGAUAACUGUGGUAAUUCUAGAGCUAAUACAUGCACCCCGUCUCUGACCGCAAGGGAAGAGCGCUUUUAUUAGUUCAAAACCGGUCGGGCCUCGGUCCGUCACCCCACCGUGUUGAAUCUGAAUAACUUGUCGCUGAGCGCACGGUCUCCGCACCGGCGCCGCCUCUUUCAAGUGUCUGCCUUAUCAGCUUUCGAUUGUAGGUUAUGCGCCUACAAUGGCUAUAACGGGUAACGGGGAAUCAGGGUUCGAUUCCGGAGAGGGAGCCUGAGAAACGGCUACCACA